UUGUCACUUGCAAGGUGCUCAAUCAUCUGCCGGUGCCAGAAUCCUGUGCGAUGUUGAGAUCCGGUUUUGGAUUUCUGACUCGCGGUUUGAAUUCCGAACUGUUCUGCAGGUUUCAUUUUCGUUUCAUCCCAUGGUCUCUGCCUCUCUGGUUGUCACGGCUGGGGCGGCACUUUUGGGUCACCGUUCUGCCGUACUUUUGCAGUACCAGGGUUACUGGACCUGCCGUCCUGCAUUGCGUUUGGUCUCUGGUGAUGGUGAGAGUCUUCCAGGAGCCGGCUGAUCUUUGUUGUUUUGAUAGAGCUUUGACCUCCUUAAUUUUCCAUGGAACUUGUAUUGUCGAAAGUGGUUAGGCUGUUGCCAGAAGGUUAGGAUUAAUUGAUGCACUUGUCUUCUAACCUAAGGUCAAAUCAUUCGAAAGGAGGAUGCAUAGUCUGGAUAAAUAGGAGUUCAGCUGCAUAUACUAUACUUGUUUU
Molecule: long non-coding RNA, 473 nt
Filed under: Setaria italica (foxtail millet)
Lineage: Eukaryota; Viridiplantae; Streptophyta; Magnoliopsida; Poales; Poaceae
Description: long non-coding RNA (SITA_LNC005521)
Source: RNAcentral